Molecule: ribosomal RNA, 484 nt
Filed under: uncultured bacterium
Lineage: Bacteria
Description: partial 16S ribosomal RNA
Rfam family: Bacterial small subunit ribosomal RNA
Source: RNAcentral
AUUGAACGCUGGCGGCAUGCUUUACACAUGCAAGUCGAACGGCAGCGCGGGCUUCGGCCUGGCGGCGAGUGGCGAACGGGUGAGUAAUGCAUCUGAACGUGCCCAGUAGUGGGGGAUAGCCCGGCGAAAGCCGGAUUAAUACCGCAUACGACCUGAGGGUGAAAGCGGGGGACCGAAAGACCUCGCGCUAUUGGAGCGGCCGAUGUCGGAUUAGCUAGUUGGUGGGGUAAAGGCUUACCAAGGCGACGAUCCGUAGCUGGUCUGAGAGGACGACCAGCCACACUGGGACUGAGACACGGCCCAGACUCCUACGGGAGGCAGCAGUGGGGAAUUUUGGACAAAGGGGGCAACCCUGAUCCAGCCAUGCCGCGUGCGGGAAGAAGGCCUUCGGGUUGUAAACCGCUUUUGUUCGGGAAGAACUCCUCUGGGCUAAUACCCCGGGGGGAUGACGGUACCGGAAGAAUAAGCACCGGCUAACUACGUG